Molecule: ribosomal RNA, 253 nt
Filed under: uncultured bacterium
Lineage: Bacteria
Description: partial 16S ribosomal RNA
Rfam family: Bacterial small subunit ribosomal RNA
Source: RNAcentral
UACAUGGGGUGCAAACGUUGCUCGGAAUUAUUGGGCGUAAAGCGCGCGUAGGCGGUUACUCAAGUCGGAUGUGAAAGCCCUCGGCUUAACUGAGGAAGUGCACCCGAAACUGAGUAGCUAGAGUACUAAAGAGGGUCGCGGAAUUCCCGGUGUAGAGGUGAAAUUCGUAGAUAUUCGCAAGAACACCAGUGGCGAAGGCGGCUCACUGGCCCGGUACUGACGCUGAGGUGCGAAAGCGUGGGGAGCAAACAGG